Molecule: ribosomal RNA, 394 nt
Filed under: uncultured bacterium
Lineage: Bacteria
Description: partial 16S ribosomal RNA
Rfam family: Bacterial small subunit ribosomal RNA
Source: RNAcentral
AUACGGAGGAUGCGAGCGUUAUCCGGAUUUAUUGGGUUUAAAGGGUGCGUAGGCUGUGCGUUAAGUCAGGGGUGAAAUGCCGUCGCUCAACGACGGAGCUGCCCUUGAUACUGGCGUGCUGGAGUACGGAUGCCGUUGGAGGAAUGAGUGGUGUAGAGGUGAAAUGCUUAGAUAUCACUCAGAACACCGAUUGCGAAGGCAUCUGACGAAUCCGUCACUGACGCUGAGGCACGAAAGCGUGGGGAUAGAACAGGAUUAGAUACCCUGGUAUUCCACGCCGUAAACGAUGAUGACUAACCGUCGGCGAUAGACAGCCGGUGGCCAAGCGAAAGCGAUAAGUCAUCCACCUGGGGAGUACGUCGGCAACGAUGAAACUCAAAUGAAUUGGCGGGGG